GACACAAGUAGUACCUGAAGCAGAUAGA
Molecule: non-coding RNA, 28 nt
Filed under: Cricetulus griseus (Chinese hamster)
Lineage: Eukaryota; Metazoa; Chordata; Mammalia; Rodentia; Cricetidae
Source: RNAcentral